ACAUGUGAAAAUUAUACUGAGAUGUUAUCUUUUAAUCUCUUUCACGUUCUUCACAGCAGAGAAAACCACUUCCAAGUUCUAAGUUCCAAGUUCCAUGGCAUUCGCAUCUCCUUCCUCUGCACUUCAUCUUCUUCCUCGAUCUCAAUCGCAAUCUGAAUCAUUCUUCAGAUUUGGAUUCUCCUCUCAAUUUUGAUCUGAAUCAUGCAUAUGUAAUUUCUCGCCUCUGGUUCAUCCUUUCGUCGCCUACACUGUCGUUGUGUCGUUCUCUUCUCGCCUGUGCCAUCGUCUUCUCCGCAGUCGUCUUCUCGCCGGUUCCAUCGUUGCUCAUCCCACGACUUGCUGUCCGAUGCCAACUGACCAGAAGCAACUAUUUCUUGCAAGUGUAACAUAAUAAAGGAGCAGAACAAGCUUAAGCUCUACAAGGUCGAACUAAAUUAUGUUCGCCACAUGGUCAAAGAUGUGUCCUGUCCUGCUAAGAACCUUGAUCUCAGACUAAUGCUAUGCACCAAAAGAAUUAUAGCAGCUCCAAAAGUAGGUGUCGUUUUUAUUCACUUCUAAAGAUUACAUCGCGCCAAUGUUUUCGUGUAGAGAUUUUGGUUAUAUAGUUUUCACAAUCCUUCUGUUUACUUUAUUUUUAUUACAUGUCAAAUUGAAUUGCUAAAGCAUAGUUUUUAUCCAUUUCUUAAAUAGAAAAAAAGAACAUAGACAAUGCAAUUGAACUUACUGUAUGUGCUCCUAUCCCAGGAUGAUGAAAUUUAAUGCAUUUAAAAGUUGAUUGAUUCUGUAGUUCUAGAUGAAACAAAGUCAUGUAAAUAAUGCAAAAAAAUUAAGGAAAUGAAACCAUUUUGCUACAAACAAGCUGCCAUCAGAGAGAAAAUGACUAUAAUUUUUAAGAGCUAUUCUUUAAGAAUUAUUCUUUCCUAAUAAAGACAUGAUGGACUUUAAUUUCUUCACCACAUGUGGUAAAUACGCCAUUCAGUUCACAACAUAUUCUCUUUCUUCAAAUAUCUUGGCUGCUUCGUUGUUCAUAAUAUAUAUCACUUUAACAUUUUUGUAUGAAUUGAAGAGUGUGCUCAUGAGUUACAAAAGAAAGAAAUAGAAGGUUUAAGAUCUUAAUUUCUUUUUACGAGUUUAAAAUAAACAACAGAAAUUUAAAAAUUUUGUUAUAUACUUUUAUAAUUUUAUCAUUUACCAAAAUAUUUUAGAUAAAUGGUAAAUAAUAAUAAAUAGGAAUAUAGUAAUUUAUUGGAAUAAAGAGGUAAUUAAUUUAUCAAUUGUUCCCUAUUAUUCACUUUGAUACUCUGCAUUCUACAAUGUUUGAGUGAUCAAUUCAUCAAGCAUGUGCUGUGCACUCACCUUACCUCAUCUUCACAACUCUACACUUAAAAUCAAAAUCAUUCAUUCCCUGUUUGCAGCUUCUUGUAACUAAUAAAAAUUAUUACUACAUCCAGAUUAAUUGAUAAAUUUAUUAUCUAAUAUUUGCUCAACCUAUUUAAUUUUGGUUACUCCUUUCAAUUUUUGCCACAUAAGUUUCAGAUUUUACACAGAUUCUAUUUCUGAAUUACCAAGUCCAGAGAGAGAUGGACUGACGAAGAACACGACAAGUUUUAGUUUCUCAAAAUACGCUGAGUUUGGCUAUGCAUUGGCUCUUAAGUUCACAAUGAUUCUUCAACACACACACACAUGCACAGAUUGGGAUCAACACACUCUAAGAAAUGGACCAGCUUUAGCACCCCAAGCUAAUGAUAAUGAUAGACCAGCAACUAAGAGAAAAGGGGUCUGACAAAGGGUCAUUCAAAUUUCAGUGGGCUUUAUGAUAUUCUUCUCAAUGUUAGAUGAGUAGUAAACUGUGGGGCAACAUUAGUCUUAACUAAAUUUACUUUGACAGUUUAUUUCAUGAUUUUUUCUUAAAAAGCACAAUAUACCUCUUCAGAAAAAUUUGGAGCUUUCUUUCCAUCAAUACCCUUACCUAUUUUUUCAGCUGCACACUGCAUUCUAUUUGGUCUUGUAGGUGAGUAUAAGCUACAACCGUUUAAUUCAUUUCACCUUCAAUUUCAUUGGAGCCUAUCUAUGCUUCAAUCGUCUAUAUAUCUUUUGAUGACAAUUGCUCUUUGCAUGUUUCAGCUUCUGUGGGACUAUCAUUUCUGCAGUUCACUAACAUGAACUCAUUGAGGAACAUCCAAACAUUGUAGUAACUAUUAUAAGAGAAGUAAUUCUUUGUUGUUAAGUGCUUUUUCAGGUGUUACUUGCAUCAAAUGUGGGAACUCGAUGAACAAAGAACUGAAGAUAAUGGUGAAUGAUUCCAGUAGUGAAGUUACUCAUCAUCAUGAGGAUGGAGCAUUUGUUAAAGGAGAAGCCAUGUACUUGAUUUUUGAUGAUUUGAAAGUGCUUUAAAGCUCUCCUAGAAUCUUUGUGAAGGAACUUGUCCAGCUUGGCUACAAAGAUUUCAACAAUUUGACAAAAAUUUAUCAAAAAUGUUGGUUUGAAGGAGGCAUUGCUUAACAAGUGGUCACCAAGAUCCUAUCUAUGUCUGAGAUUGUCACAUAAAGUCAGUGACUCAACAUCUUUUAUGUCGCAUAAAGCUCUGCACAUGAAAAUGGGUCUACAUAGAGGGAAGCAAGUUCUGUUCUUGUCGAGUCUUCAAGUUUUCAUUAAUUUUUUUCAUCGUUUUAUUUUGUGAUUUGUAUGUUGAUAUUGAAUGAGGAGUGAACCAAGACAUGUUUGAUAAAUACAUUUUUCUAGGAUUAGUAUAAUAACCAAGUUUUUUAUGUACUAUGUAUCACUUUUUUUUUUCUUUUUUAUAUGGAAUGUUCAUAGAGUUUAAGUGGUAUAAGUAUUUUUUUUCUUUUCUCA
Arachis ipaensis is the source of this 2853-nucleotide non-coding RNA. The record is from RefSeq and is a predicted model, not a curated record. Lineage: Eukaryota; Viridiplantae; Streptophyta; Magnoliopsida; Fabales; Fabaceae.